Non-coding RNA from Acanthosepion pharaonis, 98 nucleotides. NCBI's taxonomy places the organism in Eukaryota, Metazoa, Mollusca, Cephalopoda, Sepiida, Sepiidae. The record is from the annotation of a GenBank genome assembly.
GUUGAGACAUCAGAUUCCGUACGAUCAACGAAGUUAAAUAACGUCAAGCCUGGUUAAUACCUAGAUGUGUGACCACUUGGGAAUACCAGGUGAUGUUA